RNAcentral lists this long non-coding RNA (578 nucleotides) under Monodelphis domestica (gray short-tailed opossum). RNAcentral describes it as "lncRNA (ENSMODG00000045971.1)". The record is from RNAcentral. Lineage: Eukaryota; Metazoa; Chordata; Mammalia; Didelphimorphia; Didelphidae.
GCAAGAGGAUCUGGGUUGAAAUCUGAUCUCCUACACUUCCUAGCUGUGUGACCCUGGCACAAUAGUAUUCCAUCACCAACAUGUGCCAGUCUGUUGAGGCAUUCAACGUCCCUCUACUGGGAUAGAGGGAACAUCUCUUCAAUUUCCAAUUGUUUGCCACUCUACAAAGGAAGGCAGGUAACAUUAGAGAAACUUAAGAAGAUUUACAUGAACUGAUGCAUAACAAAGUGAGCAGAGCCAGGAGAACAACGUAACUCUAAUAAUACCCAGAGCAGUACAAAGACAAGCAGCUUUGAAUGACAUCAGAACUCUGACCAGUGCAAUGAUCAGUUUCUGGCCCUGGAUGAUGAAAUAGGCUGCCCACCUCCUGAAAGAGAGAUGUAUGAUGGAUUCAAGAUGCAGAAUUAAGCCAUAAUGUUUGGGAUUUGGUCAGUGAAGGAAUUUGUUUUGCUUCACUGUGAAUAUUAGUUAUAAGAGUUUUGUUUUUAUUUCAUUUUUCAGUGGGGGAGGCAGAAGGGAGAAAAAUACGUUUUUGUUCAUGAAAAAAAAAUAAAAUUGUAUUUGCCUUGCUUCCUUCA